CAGUAGCCGCGGGAAUACGGAGGGUGCAAGCGUUAAUCGGAAUUACUGGGCGUAAAGCGCACGCAGGCGGUCUGACAAGUCAGAUGUGAAAUCCCCGGGCUUAACCUGGGAACUGCAUUUGAAACUGUCAGGCUGGAGUCUUGUAGAGGGGGGUAGAAUUCCAGGUGUAGCGGUGAAAUGCGUAGAGAUCUGGAGGAAUACCGGUGGCGAAGGCGGCCCCCUGGACAAAGACUGACGCUCAGGUGCGAAAGCGUGGGGAGCAAACAGGAUUAGAUACCCCAGUAGUCCCUGUCUCUUAUAC
Molecule: ribosomal RNA, 301 nt
Filed under: uncultured bacterium
Lineage: Bacteria
Description: partial 16S ribosomal RNA
Rfam family: Bacterial small subunit ribosomal RNA
Source: RNAcentral